AACAUCAGGAGCAAAAAGGGGGUUCCCUUCCAAGAACCCUAACUCACGAAAAUUGCCAGAAUCAAAGAGAAAUCGAGCCGGGAAAUUGGGGCUUUUAAUAAAAUCGUGAUCACCAAGCUUAGGGGAUCACAAGUUUGACUCUUGACAAGCUAGAUGGAGGCUUGGGAGGAAGCGGGUCAAACGGAGCAAGUACGAAAAGAAAACGUUGCUUGGAUGUGAGGUACAUUUUGGAUGCCGGAAGACGAUCAAGCAUCAUCGAAGAACCGAAAACUAUAAAGUUACAUGCUUCCGCACAUAGCCCGACGUAAAUUUUGAACGACGAACUCAAUUACGUCAUGUUGAACAACUUAUGAUUUGUAAAAGUUUUAAUAAACCUGCAUUUUUAUAGUAUGUGUAGUCUUAACUACACAUCUAAUUGUGGUAUUUAUAUGCAAAACCGUAAUUUAGUAACUACGGUGUUACAAGUGUUAAAAAAGUUUUUUACAGGUUU
Helianthus annuus (common sunflower) is the source of this 490-nucleotide long non-coding RNA. RefSeq lists it as uncharacterized. The transcript has 3 exons. Lineage: Eukaryota; Viridiplantae; Streptophyta; Magnoliopsida; Asterales; Asteraceae. The record is from RefSeq and is a predicted model, not a curated record.